AACGAACGCUGGCGGCAGGCCUAACACAUGCAAGUCGAGCGAGGACUUCGGUUCUAGCGGCGGACGGGUGAGUAACGCGUGGGAAUGUGCCCUUCUCUACGGAAUAGCCCUGGGAAACUGGGAGUAAUACCGUAUACGCCCUAUUGGGGAGAGAUUUAUCGGAGAAGGAUCAGCCCGCGUUGGAUUAGGUAGUUGGUGGGGUAAUGGCCUACCAAGCCGACGAUCCAUAGCUGGUUUGAGAGGAUGAUCAGCCACACUGGGACUGAGACACGGCCCAGACUCCUACGGGAGGCAGCAGUGGGGAAUCUUAGACAAUGGGGGCAACCCUGAUCUAGCCAUGCCGCGUGAGUGAUGAAGGCCUUAGGGUUGUAAAGCUCUUUCAGCUGGGAAGAUAAUGACGGUACCAGCAGAAGAAGCCCCGGCUAACUCCGUG
RNAcentral lists this ribosomal RNA (433 nucleotides) under uncultured bacterium. Its description in RNAcentral is "partial 16S ribosomal RNA". It matches the Rfam family "Bacterial small subunit ribosomal RNA", at positions 29 to 507 of the family's 1533-position model. The record is from RNAcentral.